AUGCAAGUCGAGGGGUAACAGGGAGUGCUUGCACUCUGCUGACGACCGGCGCACGGGUGCGUAACGCGUAUGCAACCUACCUUUUACAGGGGGAUAGUCAAGAGAAAUUUUGAAUAAUACCCCAUACGAUCCUGAUAUCACCUGAUAUUUGGAAGAAAACUUCGGUGGUAAAAGAUGGGCAUGCGUCCUAUUAGUUAGUUGGUGAGGUAACGGCUCACCAAGACAGCGAUAGGUAGGGGUCCUGAGAGGGAGAUCCCCCACACUGGUACUGAGACACGGACCAGACUCCUACGGGAGGCAGCAGUGAGGAAUAUUGGACAAUGGAGGCAACUCUGAUCCAGCCAUGCCGCGUGCAGGAAGACUGCCCUAUGGGUUGUAAACUGCUUUUAUACAGGAAGAAACCUACUUACGUGUAAGUAGCUGACGGUACUGUACGAAUAAGGAUCGGCUAACUCCGUGCCAGCAGCCGCGGUAAUACGGAGGAUCCAAGCGUUAUCCGGAAUUAUUGGGUUUAAAGGGUCCGCAGGUGGUUUGCUAAGUCAGAGGUGAAAUCCUACCGCUUAACGGUAGCACUGCCUUUGAUACUGGCAAACUUGAGUUAUUGUGAAGUAGUUAGAAUGUGUAGUGUAGCGGUGAAAUGCAUAGAUAUUACACAGAAUACCGAUUGCGAAGGCAGAUUACUAACAAUAUACUGACACUGAGGGACGAAAGCGUGGGUAGCGAACAGGAUUAGAUACCCAGGUAGUCCACGCCGUAAACGAUGGUCACUAGCUGUUUGACUAACAUUGGUUAGUUGA
RNAcentral lists this ribosomal RNA (797 nucleotides) under uncultured Bacteroidota bacterium. RNAcentral's name for it is "bacterial SSU rRNA". It matches the Rfam family "Bacterial small subunit ribosomal RNA", at positions 55 to 842 of the family's 1533-position model. Lineage: Bacteria; Pseudomonadati; Bacteroidota. The record is from RNAcentral.